GAUGAACGCUGGCGGCGUGCCUAAUACAUGCAAGUCGAGCGAACAGAUGAGGAGCUUGCUCCUCUGACGUUAGCGGCGGACGGGUGAGUAACACGUGGAUAACCUACCUAUAAGACUGGGAUAACUUCGGGAACCGGAGCUAAUACCGGAUAAUAUAUUGAACCGCAUGGUUCAAUAGUGAAAGACGGUUUUGCUGUCACUUAUAGAUGGAUCCGCGCCGCAUUAGCUAGUUGGUAAGGUAACGGCUUACCAAGGCGACGAUGCGUAGCCGACCUGAGAGGGUGAUCGGCCACACUGGAACUGAGACACGGUCCAGACUCCUACGGGAGGCAGCAGUAGGGAAUCUUCCGCAAUGGGCGAAAGCCUGACGGAGCAACGCCGCGUGAGUGAUGAAGGUCUUCGGAUCGUAAAACUCUGUUAUUAGGGAAGAACAAAUGUGUAAGUAACUAUGCACGUCUUGACGGUACCUAAUCAGAAAGCCACGGCUAACUACGUG
Molecule: ribosomal RNA, 496 nt
Filed under: uncultured bacterium
Lineage: Bacteria
Description: partial 16S ribosomal RNA
Rfam family: Bacterial small subunit ribosomal RNA
Source: RNAcentral